This 1877-nucleotide ribosomal RNA is filed under the name Enterobacteriaceae bacterium ATCC 29904. Its description in RNAcentral is "partial 23S ribosomal RNA". It matches the Rfam family "Bacterial large subunit ribosomal RNA", at positions 1071 to 2925 of the family's 2925-position model. Lineage: Bacteria; Pseudomonadati; Pseudomonadota; Gammaproteobacteria; Enterobacterales; Enterobacteriaceae. The record is from RNAcentral.
CGAUGUGGGAAGGCACAGACAGCCAGGAUGUUGGCUUAGAAGCAGCCAUCAUUUAAAGAAAGCGUAAUAGCUCACUGGUCGAGUCGGCCUGCGCGGAAGAUGUAACGGGGCUAAACCAUGCACCGAAGCUGCGGCAGCGACACUAUGUGUUGUUGGGUAGGGGAGCGUUCUGUAAGCCGUCGAAGGUGUGCUGUGAGGCAUGCUGGAGGUAUCAGAAGUGCGAAUGCUGACAUAAGUAACGAUAAAGCGGGUGAAAAGCCCGCUCGCCGGAAGACCAAGGGUUCCUGUCCAACGUUAAUCGGGGCAGGGUGAGUCGACCCCUAAGGCGAGGCCGAAAGGCGUAGUCGAUGGGAAACAGGUUAAUAUUCCUGUACUUGGUGUUACUGCGAAGGGGGGACGGAGAAGGCUAUGUUAGCCGGGCGACGGUUGUCCCGGUUUAAGCAUGUAGGCGGAGGUUCCAGGUAAAUCCGGUACCUUUUUAACGCUGAGGUGUGAUGACGAGGCACUACGGUGCUGAAGUAACAAAUGCCCUGCUUCCAGGAAAAGCCUCUAAGCAUCAGGUAACACGAAAUCGUACCCCAAACCGACACAGGUGGUCAGGUAGAGAAUACCAAGGCGCUUGAGAGAACUCGGGUGAAGGAACUAGGCAAAAUGGUGCCGUAACUUCGGGAGAAGGCACGCUGAUAUGUAGGUGAAGUCCCUGCGGAUGGAGCUGAAAUCAGUCGAAGAUACCAGCUGGCUGCAACUGUUUAUUAAAAACACAGCACUGUGCAAACACGAAAGUGGACGUAUACGGUGUGACGCCUGCCCGGUGCCGGAAGGUUAAUUGAUGGGGUUAGUGGCAACGCGAAGCUCUUGAUCGAAGCCCCGGUAAACGGCGGCCGUAACUAUAACGGUCCUAAGGUAGCGAAAUUCCUUGUCGGGUAAGUUCCGACCUGCACGAAUGGCGUAAUGAUGGCCAGGCUGUCUCCACCCGAGACUCAGUGAAAUUGAACUCGCUGUGAAGAUGCAGUGUACCCGCGGCAAGACGGAAAGACCCCGUGAACCUUUACUAUAGCUUGACACUGAACACUGGUCCUUGAUGUGUAGGAUAGGUGGGAGGCUUUGAAGCGUGGACGCCAGUCUGCGUGGAGCCAUCCUUGAAAUACCACCCUUUAAUGGCUGGUGUUCUAACGUAGACCCGUUACCCGGGUUGCGGACAGUGUCUGGUGGGUAGUUUGACUGGGGCGGUCUCCUCCUAAAGAGUAACGGAGGAGCACGAAGGUUAGCUAAUCCUGGUCGGACAUCAGGAGGUUAGUGCAAUGGCAUAAGCUAGCUUGACUGCGAGAGUGACGGCUCGAGCAGGUGCGAAAGCAGGUCAUAGUGAUCCGGUGGUUCUGAAUGGGAGGGCCAUCGCUCAACGGAUAAAAGGUACUCCGGGGAUAACAGGCUGAUACCGCCCAAGAGUUCAUAUCGACGGCGGUGUUUGGCACCUCGAUGUCGGCUCAUCACAUCCUGGGCUGAAGUAGGUCCCAAGGGUAUGGCUGUUCGCCAUUUAAAGUGGUACGCGAGCUGGGUUUAGAACGUCGUGAGACAGUUCGGUCCCUAUCUGCCGUGGGCGCUGGAGAAUUGAGGGGNGCUGCUCCUAGUACGAGAGGACCGGAGUGGACGCAUCACUGGUGUUCGGGUUGUCAUGCCAAUGGCAUUGCCCGGUAGCUAAAUGCGGAAGAGAUAAGUGCUGAAAGCAUCUAAGCACGAAACUUGCCCCGAGAUGAGUUCUCCCUGAGACUUUAAGUCUCCUGAAGGAACGUUGAAGACUACGACGUUGAUAGGUCGGGUGUGUAAGCGUAGCGAUACGUUGAGCUAACCGAUACUAAUGAACCGUGAGGCUUAACCUU